UUGGACCGCUGUCAGGGUUUUUAGCAUUAGUGAUAGUCUGUGUAUAUAUCAUUGUAAGACGAUGUCAGAACUCGCGUGCAAAAGCACAGGAAGACGCCACGAAGCGUGAUCUGCCAAAGAAGUCUGAAUAUCUUAAGGUUCCGCUUAAGGAUAUCCAUGAUGCUACUAACAACUUGGACCAAUCAAACUACAUUGGUGAAGGAAC
RNAcentral lists this long non-coding RNA (205 nucleotides) under Helianthus annuus (common sunflower). RNAcentral's name for it is "sRNA HanXRQr2_Chr17g0798951". The record is from RNAcentral. Lineage: Eukaryota; Viridiplantae; Streptophyta; Magnoliopsida; Asterales; Asteraceae.